Bubalus bubalis (water buffalo) is the source of this 1150-nucleotide long non-coding RNA. RefSeq lists it as uncharacterized. The transcript has 2 exons. The record is from RefSeq and is a predicted model, not a curated record. NCBI's taxonomy places the organism in Eukaryota, Metazoa, Chordata, Mammalia, Artiodactyla, Bovidae.
UAGAAGAAAAGCAGGCCCAGGUGAGGGCCACAGAAUUUAUAAUUAUUGAUAAAUUGGAUGCUUUAAGGCGUGGGACUCUUGGAACAAGUCCAGAGGGAACAGUUCAUAAUCUUGAAAAUAAGAUAUGAUCCUGGGGGCAGAAAACCAACCCCAGACUGUUUCCCAACUGGCCUCUCAGAGUUACAUGUUUUUCCGUAUCUGGAGGAAAUCUAUAGAUAAGAAUAUUGGUCUUAGUUACUGAUUUGUUAUUGAUUACUGUUUCUUGUUUACCGAAAGGUUAAUGAUCACUUUGUCCUUAGCCCUGAAGGCCACAUGAGUUAUUACUUAACCCCCUGCACAUUCCUUCCUUCACGGCUGAGAGUAUAACAAAGCUGACACUGAUUCAGUUUCGGCACCUUCACCUUGGAGCGGUGUUGGUCCCCUGAUCCUCGCCUUUCACUGAACUCUGUGUCUUGUCUCCGCCGCCGCAUCACGCUUUCGGAAACCCUGCUUGUCGAUCUGGACUAAAAGUGAAACCAGCCUCGAGGCUACGCUCCUAGCGGUGGAGAACGCAGGGAAAUCCGGCCAGCUCAGACGAGGAAGGAACCUUGUCUGGAGAAGAACAAUCAAGAGACAACUAAGCCAACAACAGCAACUAGCAUUUCUCACCAUUUCUCAUCAUGUGGAAAAUCAAAAACGGGGAGAUGUAGGAGACAGGAAGAAUAGAAGAAAAGCAGACCCUGGCGAGGGCCACAGAAGGAAUUUAUAAUUAUUGAUAAACUGGAUGCUUUAAGGCAUAGGACUCUUGGAACAAGUCCAGAGGGAACAGUUCAUAAUCUUGAAAACAAGAUAUGAUCCUGGGGGCAGAAAACCAACCCCAGACUGUUUCCCAACUGGCCUCUCAGAGUUACAUGUUUUUCCGUAUCUGGAGGAAAUCUAUAGAUAAGAAUAUUGGUCUUAGUUACUGAUUUGUUAUUGAUUACUGUUUCUUGUUUACCGAAAGGUUAAUGAUCACUUUGUUCUUUGGCCCUGAAGGCCACAUGAGUUAUUGCUUAACCCCCUGCACAUUCCUUCCUUCAUGGCUGAGAGUAUAAUAAAGCUGGCACGGAUUCAGUUUCGGCACCUUCACCUUGGAGCGGUGUUGGUCCCCUGAUCCUCGUCUUUCACUGAA